Molecule: long non-coding RNA, 1008 nt
Filed under: Equus caballus (horse)
Lineage: Eukaryota; Metazoa; Chordata; Mammalia; Perissodactyla; Equidae
Description: lncRNA (ENSECAG00000052418.1)
Source: RNAcentral
GACACUUGUGUGCUGAACGCAGGGCGGGGAGGGGUGUUUAUGGCCUGUCCCCAAGGACUCCACGUGUGUCCCUUUUGCACACGCAUUUGGACACAGGUUCUGAGGCCAUUGGCGGAGGGGGGAGCAGAAGGGCCGGGUGGAUUCAGGAAGCAGGCUCACCUAGCCUUUCUCUCUUUCCCAACUGGGCACGAGGGUGCCUGGCACUAAGGACGCUCCUCAGCGUGGAACGAGAAACAAUGUCACCCUCGGAGAGGAGUGUACCUCUCAGCCCACUGGCCAGCACUCCAUGUUCCUCCCUUUAGGAAAGACCCAGCUUCCACUGGCCUAGUGUGUGUGCACACACGUGUGCCUUCUGGUCAUUGCUCCAGAACACGAGGAGGGAAGAAACAGAAAAUCAUCAAAGAGGAAAAUUAACGGCUGGAGAGGGCAUUGUUAACCCUUAUGGCUUGGCUCACCUGGCUUUCCACCCCGCAGCUCCGCGUGCACCCGCCAAAGCGGCUGAGUCUUUUUAUGACUACAACUCCAAGAAGGGAAAAAAGACGCGAAAAGAAGAGGGGGGGAAAAAACCAAACCAGGAGGCAGAGGAGAAAAAAGCAAAAGAAAAGAGAAAGAGAAUUAAACCAUUAAUCUGCCUGGAUUUUCCACUUCACAGAGUAAUCAGUUUGGAAGUGACUGAAAUAAAGUGGAAUGUACGAUUCCCACCAUCUCCUCCCUCCAGUCCACAUUUCUUAUUUACAGAAAAACGGGGAGCCAGAGAGGCGGCCUCCUUGCCCCCCACAAAGGCCUCCAGUGUCCGCUCGAGACGAGGACAAGGACCCCAGCCCUCAGCCGCAGCUGCCCGAUGCCUCGACACCCGGGCGACGGCCGCCCUGAGCUGGAGGUGCAAAGCCAAGAUGAUUUAAUUUAUAGAAAGGACAAGGAUGUCGUGUAGCAGAUUUAAUCAUCGGAGAGUUUAAAAAAAAAUAAGGACCGGGCUAAUGUCGUAAUUUACAUUUCAGGAUAAUAAAG